AAGAGUUGAUCAUGGCUCACCAUGAACGUAGGCGGCGUGCCUAAUACAUGCAAGUCGAGCGAAUGGAUUAAGAGCUUGCUCUUAUGAAGUUAGCGGCGGACGGGUGAGUAACACGUGGGUAACCUGCCCAUAAGACUGGGAUAACUCCGGGAAACCGGGGCUAAUACCGGAUAACAUUUUGAACCGCACGGUUCGAAAUUGAAAGGCGGCUUCGGCUGUCACUUAUGGAUGGACCCGCGUCGCAUUAGC
Molecule: ribosomal RNA, 249 nt
Filed under: uncultured bacterium
Lineage: Bacteria
Description: partial 16S ribosomal RNA
Rfam family: Bacterial small subunit ribosomal RNA
Source: RNAcentral